Molecule: ribosomal RNA, 497 nt
Filed under: uncultured bacterium
Lineage: Bacteria
Description: partial 16S ribosomal RNA
Rfam family: Bacterial small subunit ribosomal RNA
Source: RNAcentral
GAUGAACGCUGGCGGCGUGCCUAACACAUGCAAGUCGAGCGAACAGACGAGGAGCUCGCUCCUCUGACGUUAGCGGCGGACGGGUGGGUAAUACGUGGAUAACCUACCUAUAAGACUGGGAUAACUUCGGGAAACCGGAUCCAACACCGGAUCAUAUAUUGAACCGCAUGGUUCAAUAGUGAAAGCCGGCUUUGCUGUCACUUAUAGAUGGAUCCGCGCCGCAUUAGCUAGUUGGUAAGGUAACGGCUUACCAAGGCAACGAUGCGUAGCUGAUCUGAGAGGAUGAUCGGCCACACUGGAACUGAGACACGGUCCAGACUCCUACGGGAGGCAGCAGUGGGGAAUCUUGCGCAAUGGGCGAAAGCCUGACGGAGCAACGCCGCGUGAGUGAUGAAGGUCUUCGGAUCGUAAAGCUCUGUUAUUAGGGAAGAACAGAUGUGUAAGUAACUAUGCACGUCUUGACGGUACCUAAACAGAAAGCCACGGCUAACUACGUG